GACGAACGCUGGCGGCGUGCUUAACACAUGCAAGUCGAACGGAAAGGCCCUGCUUUUGUGGGGUGCUCGAGUGGCGAACGGGUGAGUAACACGUGAGUAACCUGCCCUUGACUUUGGGAUAACUUCAGGAAACUGGGGCUAAUACCGGAUAGGAGCUCCUGCUGCAUGGUGGGGGUUGGAAAGUUUCGGCGGUUGGGGAUGGACUGGCGGCUUAUCGGCUUGUUGGUGGGGUAGUGGCUUACCAAGGCUUUGACGGGUAGCCGGCAUGGGAGGGUGAACGGCCACAAUGGGACUGAGGUACGGCCCAGUAGCGUACGGGAGGCAGCGGUGGGGAAUAUUGCACAAUGGGCGGAAGCCUGAUGCAGCAACGCCGCGUGCGGGAUGACGGCUUACGGGUUGUAAACCGCUUUCGCCUGUGACGAAGCGUGAGUGACGGUAAUGGGUAAAGAAGCACCGGCUAACUACGUG
Molecule: ribosomal RNA, 468 nt
Filed under: uncultured bacterium
Lineage: Bacteria
Description: partial 16S ribosomal RNA
Rfam family: Bacterial small subunit ribosomal RNA
Source: RNAcentral